AAACCGGUUGAUCCUGCCGGACCCGACCGCUAUCGGGGUAGGGCUAAGCCAUGCGAGUCGCGCGCCCGGGGGCGCCCGGGAGCGGCGCACGGCUCAGUAACACGUGCCUAACCUAACCUCGGGAGGGGGACACCCCCGGGAAACUGGGGUCAAUCCCCCAUAGGGGAAGGGCGCUGGAAGGCCCCUUCCCCGAAAGGGACGGCGGCCGAUCCGUCGCCGUCCGCCCGAGGGUGGGGGCACGGCCCAUCAGGUAGUUGGCGGGUUAAAGGCCCGCCAAGCCGAAGACGGGUAGGGGCGGUGAGAGCCGCGAGCCCCGAGAUCGGCACUGAGACAAGGGCCGAGGCUACGGGGUGCAGCAGGCGCGAAUACUCCGCAAAUGGGGGAAGGCCGGAUCGCGCGCUUCCGGCCUCCCCCAGCGGAAUGCGGGCAACCGCGACGGGGCUACCCCGAGUGCGGGCGAAGAGCCCGGCUUUUGCCCGGUCUAAAACGCCGGGCGAAUAAGCGGGGGGCAAGUCUGGUGUCAGCCGCCGCGGUAAUACCAGCUCCGCGAGACCGGGGCUUCCCACAGAAAAGAUAUAACCCUCCUCUCUUUCCCUCUGGCAUGAGGGGGGCAGCCGACAGGAAGUACAUUGCGGGCGUCGUAAUGGGAGACGGAAUGGUUUAUCACAGGGCUAAAACGGGGUAUGAGGUGAAAAUAACGGAUAAAAACGAGGCUUACAUUAAGUACUUAGCGGAUCUCAUCAGCGCAGUAUACGGGAUAACGCCGAGAGUGGCCAAAGACCCUCUCAGAAACGCCUGGCGGCUCAGAGCCUUUAAAAAGGCGCUGUACCUGCAGAUAAAACGCGAUAUAGAGUGGGCCAAGGGCGAGCCCGACAGCCACGUUGUAGGAGGGCUGUACGACGCGGAGGGAUACUGGAACCCUAAAAAGAGAAAGCUGGCUUUUACUAAUAAGGAAGUCUUUAUUAUAAAGCUGGUGAGCCAGUUCCUCAGCGGCCAAAACAUAAGCCACUCAGUAUACCAGAGGAAAAAGGGGCAGUACAGCUGGUACGUAAUAGAAGUCCACAAACAACAAGCGCUUAGAUUAAUGUCAAUACUAGACCUCAGACACCCGAAAUGGGGCGUGGCCCCUCCCUAACCCCCCUUUUUCGGAACUCCUCUGUGGGAGCCCCGGCGCGAGUGGUCGGGGUGUUUACUGGGCUUAAAGCGCCCGUAGCCGGCCCGGCAAGUCGCUCCUGAAAUCCCCGGGCUCAACCCGGGGGCGGGGGGCGAUACUGCCGGGCUAGGGGGCGGGAGAGGCCGCCGGUACUCCGGGGGUAGGGGCGAAAUCCGUUAAUCCCCGGAGGACCACCAGUGGCGAAAGCGGGCGGCCAGAACGCGCCCGACGGUGAGGGGCGAAAGCCGGGGGAGCAAACCGGGCCCAGGCCAGCAAGAAUUUAAGGAGCAUAGCCCAGUCCUACAUGAGGUGCGAUAGGUACGGGGUUCUAAGAGUUCUGCCGUUUAUACUAUCAGACGGCGGAAUCUACAAGGCAAGAGAGAUAUACUUCACCACGACAGACGCGGCGUUGGUUGACCACUUCAGAAGAGCCGCAACGGAGGCGUUUAAUUAUGGAGGAUACGUGGUGAGAAGGAGUAAUGGGGCCUAUGUGGUGAAAAUAAAGGGCCGCGACUACGUCAGAUGCGUAGAAGCCGUGAUGCCAGACAUCUUAUACAAAAAUGAUAUAAGCCGCGCCGUCACGUUACCCAGCGAGUUAUUCAGAGAUCAAGAUCUCGCUAAGUGGUUCCUAAAGGUAUAUGCCUCUUGCGAUGGCGGCGUGUCUAUCAUGCGAGGGAAAAGAGGAAACACAGUAUUCUACGUCAGAAGAGUAUUCAUAACAGCCAAAAAUGUUCACCUAAGAAGCCAAGUCCGGGAAUUGUUCAAAACCCUUCAGUACUCGCCGCAAGAUGAUAAAGAUAAACACGUCUACCUAUCAAGAAAAGAGGACAUUACUAAAUACGCAAGAGAGAUAAGAUUCCUAGAGAACGUAAAGGUGACGGGCAACUCCAAGAGAUUUCGCGGAUUGGACAAAAAUCACUUGCUCGACCUCGUGGUCAAAUCUUACGGGAACCCCCACCUGCUAGAUCCUUUUUUCCAAACUUAAUCUUCAUCCCCACUUGCUGGCCUGGCCCGGGCUCAAAGGGGAUUAGAUACCCCUGUAGUCCCGGCCGUAAACGAUGCGGGCUAGCUGUCGGUCGGGCUUAGGGCCCGGCCGUGGCGAAGGGAAACCGUUAAGCCCGCGCCUGGGGAGUA
This 2287-nucleotide ribosomal RNA is filed under the name Pyrobaculum aerophilum. Its description in RNAcentral is "bacterial SSU rRNA". The stretch from base 1 to 1545 matches the Rfam family "Archaeal small subunit ribosomal RNA". Lineage: Archaea; Thermoproteati; Thermoproteota; Thermoprotei; Thermoproteales; Thermoproteaceae. The record is from RNAcentral.